This 476-nucleotide ribosomal RNA is filed under the name uncultured bacterium. RNAcentral describes it as "bacterial SSU rRNA". It matches the Rfam family "Bacterial small subunit ribosomal RNA", at positions 58 to 525 of the family's 1533-position model. The record is from RNAcentral.
CAAGUCGAACGGCAGCACGGGAGCAAUCCUGGUGGCGAGUGGCGAACGGGUGAGUAAUAUAUCGGAACGUGCCCAAUCGUGGGGGAUAACGCAGCGAAAGCUGUGCUAAUACCGCAUACGAUCUACGGAUGAAAGCGGGGGACUCAGCAAUGGGCCUCGCGCGAAUGGAGCGGCCGAUAUCAGAUUAGCUAGUUGGUGGGGUAAAGGCUCACCAAGGCGACGAUCUGUAGCGGGUCUGAGAGGAUGAUCCGCCACACUGGGACUGAGACACGGCCCAGACUCCUACGGGAGGCAGCAGUGGGGAAUUUUGGACAAUGGGCGAAAGCCUGAUCCAGCCAUGCCGCGUGAGUGAAGAAGGCCUUCGGGUUGUAAAGCUCUUUCAGCCGGAAAGAAAUCGCGCAGGCUAAUACUCUGCGUGGAUGACGGUACCGGAAGAAGAAGCACCGGCUAACUACGUGCCAGCAGCCGCGGUAAUA